CGCGGGUGCGCGUGCGGGCGCGGGGUGUGUGCCCGCGCCGUGCCCCCUGCGCGUGCUGCCAGGCGGGCGCCGGCGUGAGUCACGGCCCUGCUGCCUUUAUAACGGCCGCGAGGCGCGCGGAGCCGCCCGCCCGACCGCUGCUCCGCGUUCCGGCGAGCGCGCCCGGCCCGCGCCCCCAACGUCCCCCAACCGCCGGCCAGGCCCGAGGGCGCCAUGAGGAGCCCGCGCUGCGCCCCGCUGCUGCUCCUGCUGCUGCUGCCGCCGCUGCUGCUCACGCCCCCCGCCGGGGACGCCGCCGUCAUCACCGGGGCCUGCGACAAGGACCCCCAGUGUGGUGGAGGCAUGUGCUGCGCUGUUAGUAUCUGGGUUAAGAGCAUAAGGAUUUGCACACCUAUGGGCAAAGUGGGAGACAGCUGCCAUCCGCUGACUCGUAAAAAGCAUUUUGAAAAUGGAAGGCAGGAAAGAAGAAAGAGGAAGAGGAGAAAAAGGAAAAAGGAGGUUCCAUUUUUUGGGCGGAGAAUGCAUCACACGUGUCCAUGUAUGCCGGGCUUAGCUUGUUUACGGACUUCGUUUAAUCGAUUUAUUUGUUUAGCCCGAAAGUAAUCACUUUGGAGUAGAAACUUGAAAUGUGAACAGCCGCACGAUGUCUGUAAAGUCUAUUUACUUGUGAUUGUGCCAAACAAGUAAGAUGCCAGAAAGAAAUGCUGUUGCUUCCUCAACUUUCCAAGUAACAGUUCUAGCUUUGAUUUUUAAAUGAUGGUUUUUUUAAAUUGAAAGAGGAUUUUAAUUUUGGACAGAAAUGUAAAGUGCAAGGCAUUAUGGAACCAGUUCUCGUUUCCCUGUUUGUGUUUUGGUUUGGUUUUGCUUUUUUUUUUUUUAAUGCCAAUAACUCACCCAUUUUCACAAAAAUGAGGAGAACAAGAAUUUGAUAUUUUGUUACAGAAACUUAUUUUUCCUUAAACCCCUGUCCCCAAGCCCUGGCCCCAGAUACACACACACACACACACAGCCCUUUGAGUCUCGUCUCUCACUCGUCAAGGAAUUUUAAGUCUGUCACUUUAUUCUUUGCCAUUUCCCUCUCUGACCUUCUAGCAUUUUAAAGUGUGCGCGUGGGGUCCAUGUCCUUUAACUUGCUGGCAGAAUCACUGACAAGAAUCAAGCUUUUUGCUUGAUACUUAAACAGUGGAAAGAGUCUAGUGGAACCAGCUGCUCCAGACUUCUCUUCUGUGGGGUGGAGGUUGGGGUGCUUCUGAAUUUCCACUGAACUUGCCUCUGAGAUGGACUUCAGGUCUGCUGUUUGACUGGGGGGAGGACAGGAGGCAUGGAAAGUCAAAUUAGUCCAGAUUUGUAGAUUUGGGGUUUUUUUUUUUUGAAGGCUUUUCUAAUACAAGAUUACUUUUAUUUCUCUUUCUCUUUAUAAAACUUUUUUUAAAGUCUCAUAGUUAGAGAUGUUCCAGAAAAUGUCACUUGAAGAGGAAGUAUUGAUUUUAAUCUGGCAUAACACUAGUUACCAUUUUUAAAUCGGUAUUACGUUGUAAUUUAAACUUUAUCUGUAACCAAAAGGUCUGUUGUAAUGGAUUGCCUGACAUCCUGCCAUUUGUACCUGUAUCAAUAUUGUGUAAAAAUUCUGUAUCAGAAUAAUGACAGUAUUGUAUAUCAUUUGAUUUAUUUUAAUAUUAUAUCCUUAUUUUUGUCACAGUUGUCGUCAGUUUUUAUUACAAGGAAACUCCUCUAUAGCUCACAUUCUAAAGUGGGUAAAGACUCCAAAGUUGGUAAAAUAGCACUAACGGCAUGUGCAUUUUCAUUUUACAUACAGGAAAGUUCUGUUUGCAUGAAUUUUAAGGUAGUACAAAAAAUAAACAGUGUGUAAAUCAGUGAGGUUUUGGAGCACAACGGAAAAUUAUGACAUGCAAAACUGACUGUAAUCAGGAAUGGACUCAUGGGAUUUCACUGUGUUGAUCUGGCCAAUAGUGCCGGAGUGUUUGUCAUGGUUAGGCAGGUGCUAGCCAAAAGGCGAUGCCCGUGUAGCCUGGCCUUGAAAAACCCACGGAGUAUUGUAAAUGAUUGAACGUCGCAAAUAAACAACUUAUGAAAUGCGUUCAACUGACUAAACUUGACCAUGCCAACCCACUAACUGUUUCCAAAAAAAAAAAAAACUGUCCAUUUGUAGUUCUUUACUCAGCCAGGGCUUACAAUUGUACAUUGUGUGUAACUUUACCCUUGGGGUUAACACGUCCCAUGAAUGUAUGGGAUUUUGCUGUGCUAAUUGCCAUACUUCAUCAUAGAAGUAUUAUUUUUGGUUCAGUUAGUUUGUUUUCAAGAAGCUUUCCUCAGCCCAAUGGUGUAGUGGUUGGGUUUGCGUUCUCCACUUCAGCAGACUGGGGUUCCCGGAUUUGGAUCCCGGGCAUGGACCUACACACUGCUCAUCGGCCAUGCUGUGGCAGAAACCCACAUACAAACUGGAGGAAGAUUGGCACAGAUGUUAGCUCAACGGCAGUCUUUCUCAAGCAAAAAGAGGAAGAUUUGCAACAAAGGUUAGCUCAAGCCCAAUCUUCCUCACCAAAAAAAAGAAAGAAACAUUCCUCAGUGAAUUUGUUGAAAAAAAAUUCAAGUGGAAUUGUGGGAAAAGAAACAGGCACUUCCAUAAUUUUGCUCAAUGUUGUUUUUAUAUAGUGUUUGAUACAUCCUUUUUCAUAAGUGGUGAAAACUUAAUAGGGUCAAUCAUCGAUUUUCACCCAAGUUAGAAAACAUAUAGCUAAUUUUUAUAAAAUUUUACUUUUACGGAUACCAA
Equus caballus (horse) is the source of this 2791-nucleotide long non-coding RNA. Lineage: Eukaryota; Metazoa; Chordata; Mammalia; Perissodactyla; Equidae. The record is from Ensembl.